GUAGGUGGCAAGCGUUGUCCGGAAUUAUUGGGCGUAAAGCGCGCGCAGGCGGUUCUUUAAGUCUGAUGUGAAAGCCCACGGCUCAACCGUGGAGGGUCAUUGGAAACUGGAGAACUUGAGUACAGAAGAGGAAAGCGGGAUUCCACGUGUAGCGGUGAAAUGCGUAGAGAUGUGGAGGAACACCAGUGGCGAAGGCGGCUUUCUGGUCUGUAACUGUCGCUGAGGCGCGAAAGCGUGGGGAGCAAACAGGGAUUAGAUACCCUGGUAGUCCACGCCGUAAACGAUGAGUGCUAAGUGUUAGGGGGGUUUCCGCCCCCUUAGUGCUGCAGCUAACGCAUUAAGCACUCCGCCUGGGGAGUACGGCCGCAAGGCUG
This 374-nucleotide ribosomal RNA is filed under the name uncultured organism. RNAcentral's name for it is "partial 16S ribosomal RNA". It matches the Rfam family "Bacterial small subunit ribosomal RNA", at positions 527 to 896 of the family's 1533-position model. The record is from RNAcentral.